Mustela putorius furo (domestic ferret) is the source of this 1696-nucleotide long non-coding RNA. The record is from Ensembl. NCBI's taxonomy places the organism in Eukaryota, Metazoa, Chordata, Mammalia, Carnivora, Mustelidae.
GCAAAGUCUCUGUGCAUCGAGUUCCUCAUUUCUCACAGAGGAUUGCGGAUGCCUCCUCCCUAGGGAUGAGUCCAGGACGAAGGGAGAUUGGGCUUUAAAAUAGCUAUGGCAGGUCCUAACACACGGAUAGUAGAUUGGCUCAUUUCUUCCUUCCUGAGCAGAAAGUAACACUCUCCUCCUAGGUAAUCUAGCAAGCCUGGGGCUGCAAGGGCUAGACUCAACUUGGAGGGAGAGGGAUUUCACACAGAACCCUCUUUCUGACUCUGGCUUUAACACAGAUUACAAGGAAUGGGGUCAGUCUGUAGGAGGCUUGUCAUUUGGGUCCACUACAAUCCUUCAAGCCACGAGACUGGAAACACACUGCUCCUAGUUACCUGGAACCAGAGAAAGAUGCAUCUGAUGGGGUUGACUGACAACACUUAGGCACGUGGACACUGGUGGAGUAGUUCUUCUCCCUUCCAAACAGUCUGGUUUUCUCCAGCAGGGGCAGAACUCCUGCUGCCAGAGAAAGGACCCUUCACUGAAAGAGCUGGAUGAGGCAUCAGCAAGAGGCUUUCAAUCCAGACAAGUAAGGAGGAAGGCAGUGGACCAACCUCAUUCUUCAAACAAUACUUCCACUCAGGUGGCAGGACUCCAGGGGGAAGCUUCUUUGGACAGGGAGGUGAGUGAACACAUCCACUUCUGUCUCCUGGGGGCCGUAUUGUUGAGUCCUAGCGACUGCUAACAUCAGUUACCUCAUCACUACUUAGGAGCACCUUUGAAAACAGGGAUUACUGGCUUUGGAAAAACCUAGUCAGUUUCUUUAUCUGCUGUUGAUGGAAAAGAUUAAUAUCAAAAUGAAGAUUGAAAGAUUUGGAGCACUUUCAUGAUUAUAUAACUGCUUCUAGGCAUGGGAUGCAGAUGUUGUGCCCAUUUUAGAUAAACUGCAAAACUGUGGAAAGCUGUAGCUGGAAAGAUCUUCAAGAUUUUGACCCUCGGUCUGCAUCAUCACUGAGAUGGAUGUUGUGAAGGGACCCAAACUACCUUCCUCAGUACAACCAUUAGGUUCUUUCUGGCAAAUGUCUUUAGUUUUUAAUAUUCGAAACUGGUGAGAUUUAUAUGCUACUGCUUGCAACUUCCUAGUAGAUUAUGGAAGCAAGUUUCAGACCAAAUGUCCUGGUACAUAUUCACAUUUAAUCACAAGCAGACCUCAAAAUGACCAGAUCUGAUCUUUGAGAUCCUCUGACCAUUGUUAAGGAAAAAAUUAUCCAUGACGCUUGUUAAAACAGUAAGGCAGACCUUAUUCAGGAUUACUGAGAGAGGUAUAGGGACUAAUGCAGUAGGGUUUCACUGUAAAAGGGAGAGAUUGGGCUCAACUUCUCUAAUACAACAAGGAAAGGUAGGAAUUUAUAGGUAAGGAACAGUGUGUGUUGGAGGGGCUGGAGUGCUGGUGGAUAGAAAAUUACUAAGAGCAACCAUCAAGGGUUGGGGGGUGGUUCUGGCGAAAUCAGCCUGGUGGGAUUCUUAGUGAAGGCUGGCCAGAAGGAAACGGUGGAGGAUGAAGAAUCUAAUUCGAUAUGGAGAGUGAUCAAAUGUGGAGGUUGGGAGGUUCUCAAAAUCAGACUUAGCAAGAUUCUUGCUAAAAUUGGGCUCUUAAGGACAUGACCAAGGUUAGAAAAAGAGCUCAGAGGUACCCAACUAGUUUGGUCAAGAAGAG